UUUAGAUGUGUUGCUCUUUCCAUGUGAAUCUGAUUUUCUUCUAACAUCUUUCUUACUGUAGAUACGGUGUUAAGAAGCUUGAAAUCAUGGCAAAUUCUGUCACGAUCUUAUCGAAUGCAGGUCUUAGGAUGACCAUGUUUAGUCUCGGACUGUUCAUGGCCUUGUAGCCAAGAAUCAUAGCCUGUGGGACUAAAAUCACCGCAUACGGAUUGGUUGCGAGGUUCCUCGCUGGCCCAGCUUGCAUGGUGAUCGCAUCUGUUGGGGUUGGCCUCAGAGGCACAAUCCUCAGAGUGUCCAUUGUUCAAUAAGCUUUCGGAUUAAAGUGAAGCUGAGAGUAGGGUAUUAGUUGAUAACAAAUUGAUAACCAGUAGAUGCACAUCCAUGGAGUUUUCACUUGCGAUUGUUAAGAAGCUAUUUGGCUGCGAGAAGGCAUUAGAUCUUGAUGUUAAUGAGAACUUCAAAUAGACAUAUAACUAUUAUUUGGGCAUUGUACUUUUG
This is a long non-coding RNA of Magnolia sinica, 498 nucleotides long. RefSeq lists it as uncharacterized. The transcript is spliced from 3 exons. The record is from RefSeq and is a predicted model, not a curated record. Lineage: Eukaryota; Viridiplantae; Streptophyta; Magnoliopsida; Magnoliales; Magnoliaceae.